GGUUGUGAGGGCGAUCUCUGGCUGCAACAUCUGUGACCUCCCUGACCACCAGGAUUGGUUGGCUGAGUUGGCUGGCUGGGCGGUGUCCCCUUCCUCCCCUUCCUCCUUCAACGCUCCAGGUGCUCCGUGGAAGAGGAGGACAGCCCCCGAUAGAGAAGGACUCUUUUUCUUGGUCAAGGGUAUAGCUGUGCUCCCCUGCUAGAACCUACAAACAAGCUCCCAAAAGAGUAUCUGGUGUACACGAAAGGGGUUCUGUGUAAAUGUGUGCAGGUCAGUGCAUACAUUAGUUCUAUUUCUUU
RNAcentral lists this small nuclear RNA (299 nucleotides) under Chinchilla lanigera (long-tailed chinchilla). RNAcentral describes it as "7SK RNA (ENSCLAG00000021684.1)". It matches the Rfam family "7SK RNA". From Rfam's summary of the family: 7SK was discovered as an abundant small nuclear RNA in the mid-70s but a possible function has only recently been suggested. Two independent studies have found that 7SK RNA binds the CDK9/cyclin T complex (known as elongation factor P-TEFb). Lineage: Eukaryota; Metazoa; Chordata; Mammalia; Rodentia; Chinchillidae. The record is from Rfam by way of RNAcentral.